AGAGCGAACGCUGGCGGCAGGCCUAACACAUGCAAGUCGAACGGACCCUUCGGGGUUAGUGGCGGACGGGUGAGUAACACGUGGGAACGUGCCUUUUGGUUCGGAAUAGCUCCUGGAAACGGGUGGUAAUGCCGAAUGUGCCCUUCGGGGGAAAGAUUUAUCGCCAUUAGAGCGGCCCGCGUCUGAUUAGCUAGUUGGUAAGGUAAUGGCUUACCAAGGCGACGAUCAGUAGCUGGUCUGAGAGGAUGACCAGCCACAUUGGGACUGAGACACGGCCCAAACUCCUACGGGAGGCAGCAGUGGGGAAUCUUGCGCAAUGGGCGAGAGCCUGACGCAGCCAUGCCGCGUGAAUGAUGAAGGUCUUAGGAUUGUAAAAUUCUUUCACCGGGGACGAUAAUGACGGUACCGGAGAAGAAGCCCGGCUAACUUCGUGCCAGCAGCCGC
Molecule: ribosomal RNA, 444 nt
Filed under: uncultured soil bacterium
Lineage: Bacteria
Description: bacterial SSU rRNA
Rfam family: Bacterial small subunit ribosomal RNA
Source: RNAcentral